GUGGGGAAUCUUGCGCAAUGGGCGAAAGCCUGACGCAGCCAUGCCGCGUGGAUGAUGAAGGUCUUAGGAUUGUAAAAUCCUUUCACCGGUGAAGAUAAUGACUGUAGCCGGAGAAGAAGCCCCGGCUAACUUCGUGCCAGCAGCCGCGGUAAUACGAAGGGGGCUAGCGUUGCUCGGAUUUACUGGGCGUAAAGGGCGCGUAGGCGGACAUUUAAGUCAGGGGUGAAAUCCCGGGGCUCAACCUCGGAACUGCCUUUGAUACUGGGUGUCUUGAGUAUGAGAGAGGUGUGUGGAACUCCGAGUGUAGAGGUGAAAUUCGUAGAUAUUCGGAAGAACACCAGUGGCGAAGGCGACACACUGGCCCAUUACUGACGCUGAGGCGCGAAAGCGUGGGGAUCAAACAGGAUUAGAUACCCCUGUAGUCC
RNAcentral lists this ribosomal RNA (425 nucleotides) under uncultured bacterium. RNAcentral describes it as "partial 16S ribosomal RNA". It matches the Rfam family "Bacterial small subunit ribosomal RNA", at positions 354 to 796 of the family's 1533-position model. The record is from RNAcentral.